GAUGAACGCUGGCGGCGUGCCUAAUACAUGCAAGUCGAGCGAACAGAUAAGGAGCUUGCUCCUUUGACGUUAGCGGCGGACGGGUGAGUAACACGUGGGUAACCUACCUAUAAGACUGGGAUAACUUCGGGAAACCGGAGCUAAUACCGGAUAACAUUUGGAACCGCAUGGUUCUAAAGUGAAAGAUGGUUUUGCUAUCACUUAUAGAUGGACCCGCGCCGUAUUAGCUAGUUGGUAAGGUAACGGCUUACCAAGGCGACGAUACGUAGCCGACCUGAGAGGGUGAUCGGCCACACUGGAACUGAGACACGGUCCAGACUCCUACGGGAGGCAGCAGUAGGGAAUCUGCCGCAAGGGGCGAAAGCCUGACGGAGCAACGCCGCGUGAGUGAUGAAGGGUUUCGGCUCGUAAAACUCUGUUAUUAGGGAAGAACAAACGUGUAAGUAACUGUGCACGUCUUGACGGUACAUAAUCAGAAAGACACGGCUAACUACGUG
RNAcentral lists this ribosomal RNA (497 nucleotides) under uncultured bacterium. RNAcentral describes it as "partial 16S ribosomal RNA". It matches the Rfam family "Bacterial small subunit ribosomal RNA", at positions 28 to 507 of the family's 1533-position model. The record is from RNAcentral.